GAUGAAGAACGUAGCGAAAUGCGAUAAGUAAUGUGAAUUGCAGAAUUCAGUGAAUCAUCGAAUCUUUGAACGCACAUUGCGCCGCUUGGUAUUCCGAGGGGCAUGCCUGUUCGAGCGUCAUUACACCACUCAAGCUAUGCUUGGUAUUGGGCGUCGUCCUUAGUUGGGCGCGCCUUAAAGACCUCGGCGAGGCCACUCCGGCUUUAGGCGUAGUAGAAUUUAUUCGAACGUCUGUCAAAGGAGAGGAACUCUGCCGACUGAAACCUUUAUUUUUCUAGGUUGACCUCGGAUCAGGUAGGGAUACCCGCUGAACUUAAGCAUAUCAAUAAGCGGAGGA
RNAcentral lists this unclassified non-coding RNA (337 nucleotides) under soil metagenome. RNAcentral's name for it is "partial contains 5.8S ribosomal RNA, internal transcribed spacer 2, and large subunit ribosomal RNA". The stretch from base 1 to 120 matches the Rfam family "5.8S ribosomal RNA", at positions 35 to 154 of the family's 154-position model. The record is from RNAcentral.